UCUAGAACUCGAGAUAUGGGUUGAACACUGAACAGUGUCUGGGCUGCAGGACAGAUUAUGACUUCUCUGUUGUUGCUACAAUUUAAACUUGAAAAUGGUCCUUUUGAAUCUUUGACUCUUCAUGAAAGUUUUAAGCAUAUGUCUUAGCUUUCUAUC
Non-coding RNA from Populus trichocarpa (black cottonwood), 156 nucleotides. The record is from Rfam. Lineage: Eukaryota; Viridiplantae; Streptophyta; Magnoliopsida; Malpighiales; Salicaceae.